CUAAGUCAGGAACCCAGUUCCCGUGGCAACCACCCGGGGGCGUGGCCUUUGUCAGGGCAUCUCUAUGGCUUCUUCAUCCUAGAAGGACCGAAGUGUACUUCCGGGAAGAUGGCUGCACCCAAGUCCUGUGUGACACGUGCUUUUACUGAGAGGACCCGGCACUGACGAGGAGGGUGCCACAUCUUCCCUGGUGAGACCGUGAGGACGCAGCCUCUCUGCCCACCAUGAGUGUCACCCCAGUGGCCAAGAGUCGUGGGAUGAAGUUUGCUGAGGAGCAGCUGCUGAAGCAUGGAUGGACUCAAGGCAAGGGCCUGGGCCGGAGAGAGAACGGCAUCACCCAGGCCCUCAAGGUGACACUGAAGCAAGACACGCACGGGGUGAGACCGCGAGGUGGUCAGCAUGAGUGGGGGCAGGGACUGGAGGGCCGG
Molecule: long non-coding RNA, 428 nt
Organism: Acomys russatus (golden spiny mouse)
Lineage: Eukaryota; Metazoa; Chordata; Mammalia; Rodentia; Muridae
Exons: 3
Source: RefSeq, a predicted model, not a curated record